RNAcentral lists this small RNA (254 nucleotides) under Pseudomonas sp. NFACC04-2. RNAcentral describes it as "Pseudomonas sRNA P17". It matches the Rfam family "Pseudomonas sRNA P17". Lineage: Bacteria; Pseudomonadati; Pseudomonadota; Gammaproteobacteria; Pseudomonadales; Pseudomonadaceae. The record is from RNAcentral.
GCAAGGAACAAGUGGCGCGCUCCAGCGAUUAUCUCGAUGGACAACUGAGCUUUCGUGAACGCCUGAUGGUGCGUCAUCACUUGAUGUUCUGCCCCAAUUGCCGACGCUUCAUCCGUCAGAUGCGCCUGAUGCAGGCGACCCUCAAAAAGCUUCCUGAAGCCCCCGUUCCCGACCUGGAUAACCUCGCCGAGAAACUCGCCGCCGAGCGUCGCAGAAACAUCCGCUGACACCUGACACAUCACCCCCCCAUGGUG